RNAcentral lists this ribosomal RNA (292 nucleotides) under uncultured bacterium. Its description in RNAcentral is "partial 16S ribosomal RNA". It matches the Rfam family "Bacterial small subunit ribosomal RNA", at positions 505 to 796 of the family's 1533-position model. The record is from RNAcentral.
GUGUUAGCAGCCGCGGUAAUACAGAGGGUGCAAGCGUUGUUCGGAAUCAUUGGGCGUAAAGCGCGUGUAGGCGGCCAUCUAAGUUUGAUGUGAAAGCCCAGGGCUUAACCCUGGAAGUGCACUGAAUACUGGAUGGCUAGAAGAUAUGAGGGGAGUUUGGAAUUCAUGGUGUAGGGGUGAAAUCCGUAGAUAUCAUGAGGAACAUCAGUGGCGAAGGCGAAACUCUGGCAUAUUUCUGACGCUGAGACGCGAAAGCGUGGGGAGCAAACAGGAUUAGAAACCCGUGUAGUCC